UACGUUCCCGGGCCUUGUACACACCGCCCGUCACACCACGAGAGUUUGUAACACCCGAAGUCGGUGAGGUAACCUUUUGGAACCAGCCGCCGAAGGUGGGACAAAUGAUUGGGGUG
Molecule: ribosomal RNA, 116 nt
Filed under: uncultured bacterium
Lineage: Bacteria
Description: partial 16S ribosomal RNA
Rfam family: Bacterial small subunit ribosomal RNA
Source: RNAcentral